Non-coding RNA from Fibrisoma limi, 374 nucleotides. It matches the Rfam family "transfer-messenger RNA". From Rfam's summary of the family: Bacterial tmRNA, also known as 10Sa RNA or SsrA, is named for its dual tRNA and mRNA-like properties. Its role is to liberate the mRNA from a stalled ribosome. To accomplish this part of the tmRNA is used as a reading frame that ends in a translation stop signal. NCBI's taxonomy places the organism in Bacteria, Pseudomonadati, Bacteroidota, Cytophagia, Cytophagales, Spirosomataceae. The record is from Rfam.
GGGGACGACCGGAAUUGACAGCUUGCUGAGGUCGCGUGUAAGCAUGCCGGGAGUUGACGGAAUUUCCCGACCCGAACAAAUCGUCAAAACAAUAACUGGCGAGUAUAACUACGCCAUGGCUGCCUAAUCCGGAGGAUUAAGCACUAGCCAUCGUCUCCCCGGCCUACGUGCUGCUGGCUGGAUCAGGGGGCGUCGACUCGCAGCGCUGGCCCGGAUAAUGGUGUUAACAACGGGCGAGACAAAAGCACCUACGGAUGAGGCUCGGUCUGACGCGCACCUGGCCGAUUCCCGACAAUCCCAAGCGCAUCUAAGCAUGUAGAAAGCACGACGGGUUCCUUGACUGGACGAGAGUUCGAAUCUCUCCGUCUCCACCC